UACGGAGGGUACAAACGUUACUCGGAAUCACUGGGCAUAAAGCGCGCGUAGGCGGUCUACCCAGUUAGGUGUGAAAGCCCCCGGCUCAACCGGGGAACUGCAUCUAAUACUAGUAGACUUGAGAAUGGUAGGGGUAUGUGGAACUUCAGGUGGAGCGGUGAAAUGCGUAGAUAUCUGAAGGAACACCAGUGGCGAAAGCGGCAUACUGGGCCAUUACUGACGCUGAGGCGCGAAAGCUAGGGUAGCGAAC
RNAcentral lists this ribosomal RNA (250 nucleotides) under uncultured bacterium. Its description in RNAcentral is "partial 16S ribosomal RNA". It matches the Rfam family "Bacterial small subunit ribosomal RNA", at positions 524 to 773 of the family's 1533-position model. The record is from RNAcentral.